This 497-nucleotide ribosomal RNA is filed under the name uncultured bacterium. RNAcentral describes it as "partial 16S ribosomal RNA". It matches the Rfam family "Bacterial small subunit ribosomal RNA", at positions 28 to 507 of the family's 1533-position model. The record is from RNAcentral.
GAUGAACGCUGGCGGCGUGCCUAAUACAUGCAAGUCGAGCGAACGGACGAGAAUCUUGCUUCUCUGAUGUUAGCGGCGGACGGGUGAGUAACACGUGGAUAACCUACCUAUAAGACUGGGAUAACUUCGGGAAACCGUAGCUAAUACCGGAUAAUAUUUUGAACCGCAUGGUUCAAAAGUGAAGGACGGUCUUGCUGUCACUUAUAGAUGGAUCCGCGCUGCAUUAGCUAGUUGGUAAGGUAACGGCUUACCAAGGCAACGAUGCAUAGCCGACCUGAGAGGGUGAUCGGCCACACUGGAACUGAGACACGGUCCAGACUCCUACGGGAGGCAGCAGUAGGGAAUCUUCCGCAAUGGGCGAAAGCCUGACGGAGCAACGCCGCGUGAGUGAUGAAGGUCUUCGGAUCGUAAAACUCUGUUAUUAGGGAAGAACAUAUGUGUAAGUAACUGUGCACAUCUUGACGGUACCUAAUCAGAAAGCCACGGCUAACUACGUG